Molecule: ribosomal RNA, 824 nt
Filed under: uncultured bacterium
Lineage: Bacteria
Description: bacterial SSU rRNA
Rfam family: Bacterial small subunit ribosomal RNA
Source: RNAcentral
UGCAAGUCGAACGGACUUAAUCGAUUCUUUUAGAUUCGAAGCGGUUAGUGGCGGACUGGUGAGUAACACGUAAGCAACCUGCCUGUUAGAGGGGAAUAACAGUGAGAAAUCACUGCUAAAACCGCAUAUGCCGUGAACAUCGCAUGAUGAAAACGGGAAAAGAGCAAUCUGCUAAUAGAUGGGCUUGCGUCUGAUUAGCUAGUUGGUGUGGUAAAGGCAUACCAAGGCAACGAUCAGUAGCCGGACUGAGAGGUUGAACGGCCACAUUGGGACUGAGAUACGGCCCAGACUCCUACGGGAGGCAGCAGUCGGGAAUAUUGCGCAAUGGAGGAAACUCUGACGCAGUGACGCCGCGUAUGGGAAGAAGGUUUUCGGAUUGUAAACCAUUUUAGACAAGGAAGAAACAAGACAGUACUUGUAGAAUAAGCUCCGGCUAACUACGUGCCAGCAGCCGCGGUAAUACGUAGGGAGCAAGCGUUAUCCGGAUUUAUUGGGUGUAAAGGGUGCGUAGACGGGAAGGUAAGUUAGUUGUGAAAUCCCUCGGCUCAACUGAGGAACUGCGACUAAAACUGCUUUUCUUGAGUGCUGGAGAGGAAAGUGGAAUUCCUAGUGUAGCGGUGAAAUGCGUAGAUAUUAGGAGGAACACCAGUGGCGAAGGCGACUUUCUGGACAGUAACUGACGUUGAGGCACGAAAGUGUGGGGAGCAAACAGGAUUAGAUACCCUGGUAGUCCACACCGUAAACGAUGGAUACUAGGUGUAGGGGAUAUUAAGCCUUCUGUGCCGUCGCAAACGCAGUAAGUAUCCCACCUGGGGAGUACGGCC